UUGCAUUUAUCGCAAUUGCAUCGACGCACAUGUCUACAAGUCCGACGUCUUCCACUGUUGGAUCUAACCCAUCACAUGCACAUAAGACUUCUAGGGAUUUAUCAAGGUUCUUGACUACAAUCUCGUUCAGAGGACUGGAACAAGGCAGUGGUAACUGCUACAGAAAUCAAACAACUGGUACAGAUUAUUUCAGUCCACUAAGACUGUAAGACAUACUAUCAAUGUAGGUUCCAAUCACAAUUCACAAUUCAAUCAAACAUUCCGGCCAAACAAAUCACAUAAGAAGUAGAUCCUUCGAGUUAAAUUGCUAAAGUUUGCAAUUUUUUUCUCCGAAAAUCGACUGCAUUUUCUUUUAAGAAAGAGAGAGACAGAGUAGGGGGGAAAAAAACCUUCAUUGACUUGUUCAGAGGUUGAGAACCAGAUGCAGAAAAGAGGAUGCUGAUGUAGGGACCUGAAUCUAGACAAGUCACCGGACGAGAUAAAAAAAAGUGCAGACGUUUUGUGAUGCCCGGGACCAUCCGAUAUUCCGAUGAACAUUUUUAAGGUUUGCCACUUCUUUCAUCAGUUAUACAAAGGAUAACUUCUGAUGUCAUCUCAUAAUCUGAACUCUGAACUCUGAAGGUAGCAUUUGCGAGAAACCAGUAUUUCAGCGGGUUCAGAGAAUUCAACCCCGACCCCUCUGAUAUUUUUCAGGGACGUCGGAGUAUUAAACCCCGACCCCCACUGCUCGGAAAAUUCGACUCCGACCCCCUGUUAUUUUUCAAAGGGGUUCGGAGAAUUAAACUCCGACCCCUCUUGGCCGAGCUCAAACUCCUCCGGCGUGGCGGGGCUGAGAUUCUCCUACCACCAUUACACAAGGCAAGUGACCCUCUCCAAUCUCCUCUCCUCAUGGAGUGGCUGCACCUGCACUGCAGCAGCCAGCAGGGUUUAUGCCUUUCUCUGCUUCUUUCAGAGUCCCAGAGAAAUGCAACAUGAACAAUCCAAACUUGUGCAGCAAAAUGAACAAAAACUAGUUGCAACUGAUCUGAACUGACAAAGGACAAGUUUUUGCCAAAACUAGCAAACUAUAGGAACACCAGCAUGCACUCGCCAUUGCAUUUUCUACAAAGAAUAAACCGCGGCAAAACCACACCCGAGCUCAGAAAUGGAAGGGAAAGGAACAGCAUUGGUACAAGUUACCUCCUGCUGAUGGGGUUGCAGACGCGCGGCGAGGCGGCGAGCUUGGCGGCGGAGAAGGGGAACGACGCAGGGCUGUCGCUGGCCAGCCCCAUUGCUCAGCCUCAGAUACCAAACCCUCCUGUUUCUUCUUUCCCUUCCCUUUGUGUAGAAAAGAAAAGCUCUGGGCAAUGGCGGAGCGGCGAUGAGUGAGGACGAAACAAAAGAAUAACGGCUGGUGGAGUCAUCGACGUGUGUGGCCUGUCAUCAUUAAGAUACUAGUAAUAUUUUAAACAAAUAAUUAAGAUACUAAUAAUUCAAUUCGAUGACAGACAUUCUUCCAAAAAUCCAUUCUUUAAUUCUUUCGUCUACUUUUUCUUCUUGCACAUUGCACUUGCACUCACCUACAAUUUGCCAAUAGGUCCCCCUGUCUGGCUGUCUCUGCUUUCCCUUUCUUCUAGUACAGGCCACUCAGCUGCAUGCCUGCAUGUCUGCAGAUAGGAAGAAUUGCAUCUUUCAAGGUGUAAAUUAGGGCAGUCCCAACCCAUAACAUUAGAUAUGGUUUUCAUAAACUCCACAUCAUUAAGAAACUAGUACUAGACACUACUCUUCCAAUACAAACACUACUAUUCCAUACUUCAAUUUAAUGCUACUUAUCACACAUGAUGUCUUGGAUAUUGUGUAGAAACCCUGUCUCAUGUGAGACAUGGUUUUCUUCUCUUUCCUCAUUUAUUCACUUGCCACAUCAUUUUUUGUCUUAGGUGGCAACUUAUUUAAUGCUAUGGACACCUAGUCAUUAGGUUAGCAAAGAGGGUCUGUGUGUUGGAUUAGCUGAGAAAGUGACACUGAUGGAGGAACAGUUGGCUGACUAGGGGACAAAGGCUGGUCUACUGUCAGCUUGUGGAUGCUUCAAGAAUUCAGGCUUCAUCUUAUGUGGCCAUACUACUAUUGCCAUUGCUUCUUUUUUUUUUGGUAUUUUGGAUGUAUCACAUACUAACAUUUAUUCUUUCUUUUCUCCUUAACAACUAAAUUGUGGUCUAAUUUUUACUGGCUCCCAAGUAUGUUAUGCUCUGUAUCUGUUUUAGGAGGUGAAAUUUCACAAUGUUUCAAGUGCCAUGUAACUGUAGAAAAUCCAUGCUACUGCAAUUUGUAGCAGCAUGCAGUAGAGAAUGGAGAGAGGAGUGGGGUUGAAGGCUGUCGGUGAAGGAAAUGAUUCGGAUGCUUUGGCUGCCAUGGCUCCUUGUCCACUGAUCUACUCGUACUAGAGUAGAGAGAAUGGACAGCUCUAACUUUUCUUCCUUUGGCUUUUGCUUUUGCUUUUGCAGAGAGGAUAUCGAGGAGAAGAGCUACUAGCUUUGAUCGGGCUUUGUUUGGUCAGGUCCACCAUGAGAAAGCCACAAGACAACCCGACUCGAUUACUCAGCAGCCUAUACUGCUUGUUCAUACUCCAUUGCCGGUCAGAAGCACGAACCGUGCCAUUGAUCAUUUCCUCUCACAGAUUCUUUGCAUUCAUGCUUGGCUGCCUACAGAUUUUGCACAUCAAGCAAGCAUCCAGGCUACUGUUGCGCUCGUGCAAAACUUACCCUGUCAUUUGAUCAUCGAGAAUACAUAUGAUCCAAGCAGUGAUUAUGAUUCACUUGAUCAAUCAGUCUCUCUGUCCGUGUGUGUUAUUUCCCUCCCUCCAAACUUUCUUUGUGAAAAUUUUCUUUUCAGAGAUGAGAUAGAUCAGAUGGGGAAAGGACAGCAAAGUAAAAUGCAAAUGUGCUAAA
Non-coding RNA from Oryza sativa Japonica Group (Japanese rice), 2924 nucleotides. The record is from RefSeq and is a predicted model, not a curated record. Lineage: Eukaryota; Viridiplantae; Streptophyta; Magnoliopsida; Poales; Poaceae.